This is a long non-coding RNA of Monomorium pharaonis (pharaoh ant), 986 nucleotides long. RefSeq lists it as uncharacterized. The transcript is spliced from 5 exons. Lineage: Eukaryota; Metazoa; Arthropoda; Insecta; Hymenoptera; Formicidae. The record is from RefSeq and is a predicted model, not a curated record.
CAAAGAGGAACCUGUGAUGGCUGUGACUCCUGUGAGAGCGGUCAUCGCGUCGUUUUAGGUGUUUUCAUCCAUCAGCACCUCUAUGUGCAUAAAAUGUGCACAUUGAACUAUGUAGUCAAAUAUCUAUGAAUCCCUUCUGUUCCAUGCUAUAUCUGUGAGCAACAAACCACACGAACGAGGAAAGUCGUCGGGAUGGCCUUCCAACAGCAGUCAUACAGUAUCGUAGAAUAUUACGCGGAACACGAGGGCUAUCGGUGUGGCUACUGCAAGAGCUCUACCAGGAAUUUCAGUCACGGUAUGUGGCCGCACACGUUGACGCUGCAAGACUACCAAAGUUUGAUAGACAGGGGUUGGAGAUGGAACGGCUGCUAUUGUUAUAAACGAUGAAUCAGACCUGCUGUCCUCAGUAUACCAUUAGAUGCGAAGUGCUAAAUUUUAAGAUAUCAAAGUCCCAGAAAAAAUUCUAAAACGCAUGAUUAAAUUUUUGAAAAAUAAAUUGACAAAUGAUAGUUCUGGAGGUACAAGUGAAGAUCAACAAGAUAAUAUAGAUAUAAGCAAUGAAGAGGCAUUAAACUAUUCUAAGCAUUUGACAAAAGAGCAGAAAGAUAAAUCUCAGAUUGAUGUUUUGUCUGUCGAUGAAGUUGGUGGAAGAUUGUCCAUUAAUUUAGUAAAAAACAGAAACUCAGAAAAAUUUGACUUUUGCAUUGAGUAGCAAUCAAGCGCAGUUAACAAAUUCCAACAGCAAAAAUAUCUUGCACGUUAGAAGUGAGAUCACCGAUGUGGUACCUUGCAAGAAGGCCAAAUUAUUACGCAUAGAACGUAAGAAAAAUCUAUCGUAUUUAGAUAAAACUAUCCCUACUUUCGAUUCAAGUUACACAUUUUUUACUGUCAGAAUGUUAAAGUUUUCUAAGUUUUGCAUUGUAAUUAUAAGAGCAAAAUGUAUUGGAUAUUUUUGGUAUUAGAAAUAUAAAAUUUCAAAAUAUAAA